Molecule: ribosomal RNA, 449 nt
Filed under: uncultured Syntrophus sp.
Lineage: Bacteria; Pseudomonadati; Thermodesulfobacteriota; Syntrophia; Syntrophales; Syntrophaceae
Description: bacterial SSU rRNA
Rfam family: Bacterial small subunit ribosomal RNA
Source: RNAcentral
UGGAGCAUGUGGUUUAAUUCGGUGCAACGCGAGAACCUUACCUGGGCUUGACAUCCACGGAACCUGCUGGAAACAGUGGGGUGCCCUUCGGGAGCCGUGAGACAGGUGCUGCAUGGCUGUCGUCAGCUCGUGUCGUGAGAUGUUGGGUUAAGUCCCGCAACGAGCGCAACCCUUGUCUUUAAUUGCCAUCAUUCAGUUGGGCACUUUAAAGAGACUGUCGGUGUUAAACCGGAGGAAGGUGGGGAUGACGUCAAGUCCUCAUGGACUUUAUGCCCAGGGCUACACACGUGCUACAAUGGGUGGUACAAAGAGCAGCGAGCUCGCGAGAGUGAGCGAAUCUCAAAAAGCCAUCCUCAGUUCGGAUUGCAGUCUGCAACCCGCCUGCAUGAAGUUGGAGUUGCUAGUAAACGCAGGUCAGCCAUACUGCGUUGAAUACGUUCCCGGGGCUU